GCUUUUUAAAUUCAGGGUAUAAUAAAUGUCAUGGUGUGAUCAAUGAUAGUACAGGAUCAAAGUUUGAGAUGAGGUCAAUAAAACCACAAACAACCUUACAUUAUUUUCAGUGGAUUUCUACACAUGAUGACAAAACAGCUGUGCUUCAAGCCUGCCUUUACAACAAAUUAUGAAUAGGCAUGAAAACAAUGACAAUUACUGUAGCUGUAAAAGGAUCCAUUGCCCAUAGAUGUUUAAAUUGUUCCAUAUCACUUAGGUUGAUAUAUAAAAUCUCGUGUUAUCAAGAGGGCAGUAAAAUUAGCCCUACUAUCAUAGAUGAGUUAAUACUUGGAAUGUUUAAAUGAUGUGCCCAAGUCAAAUAACCAGCUAUUAAACAAAGAAGAAAGGGCAUGUAAGUCUACUCCAUGAGGCAACUGAGGAGAUAAGAUGUUGCAUAAGCCGUAAAGUUUGGAGGCAUCUCUAACUUUUGAUAAAUGUUAAAUAAAAGAAAUAUAUGCAAAACGGUUAAUAACCAAAUGAAAUUGAAAGGCUCAUAAUGAAAACCAGCUACUCCAUUUUCUACCUUCCCCACCCCUUUUGACACCCCUUCCCUGACCACUUUCUGCUCCAGGUACCGUUCCCCAAAAGCAACUACUUUUAAUUAUUUAGCUGUUUCUUCUGUUAAUUACACUAAGGCUCAACAGUAUUAAAAAAAAACAAGUAACCGAAAUAAUGCAUAUAGCAACCAACUCUAUUACCAAGUCUUAAAUGUUUCAGAAACACAGAAACUUAGUGCCAUCAGUGAGAAUAUCAACGGUCAUUUUAUAGAAGUCCUAAUCAAUAGAUUUUUGUUAGAGGAAAUGAUGGACAACAGACCUUUUUUGUAUAUAGGAUUUUGUGGUCAGCUCUUUUUAUUUUCACUGAAGACAAAAGUCAUCUCUAUUAUAUCGUGGUAUUCAGAGAGAAUUAUGUUGGCGUAUGCUUUGAGUAGGAUGGUCUCAACAGCAAAGUAGCAUCUGCCCAAUAAAAUGUUCCCUUGAAGCAUCCUUUGGCAAUCUUUGUCUUGGCAAAGGCAGUCCUCUGGUCAUGUUACCUGGCGUUGGUCUUUUGAGGACAACAGAGUUAGUGGAUGCAGGCUCUGAACCCAGCCUUUGUUCAUGCCUCGUGAUGGGCAGGGACUGGAUGAAAUCUGUUCACAGAGAGCUGUCAGUUGUCGGGUCGGUACCUAUGGGAUCUAUCAAGCAUCACAGCAAAUUCUGCCUUAUACUGUCAAUGCUUUACGUUAUCUCCAAAAUUGCAUCUUUCUUUAACUAGUAUCUGGUGGGAUAGAGAUAGCCUUUCAGAGGCUAGGUGUUAUCUCCUAUAAGCUGUCGUAUUUUUAUUGCUUGCCUUGAAAUCUUAAGGGGCAAGAAGUAUGAAGAAGCCGUCAUUUAUUAUUUUUAUGACAAUAUAUUAAACUGGAUUAUUAAUGCUCAUCUUAUUUUCAUAAUCAUAUGCUAAAAAAUGGAUUGUCAAGGUGUAGAUACACCCAGAGAUCAUGGAAUUUUAAAAAAGGAGAUUCCUUCAUCUCAGAUGCUACUAUUGAAGUGUCCAACUGUUUCCUUCCCUGUACUGAAGUGGAACAAGGAAAGCUAGACCUGCUUAAAUGAUGCUAUAAAGACUGCUUAAGUAAUUGGAUACAUUGUCAGUGGCUGUCAGGAAGAAGGUCGUAGAAUACCACACUCAGUGGCUCUUUAUCUGGGUUCAGCGAUAAAUGCCAGCUCAGUUCACUCAGUCAGCUUGCCUCCCUAAUGAUAUGCUGAAGCAUUAAAAAUGGAUUUCUUCUUUGUCAAUAGUACAUCAUGUAUAUCUAAAAUGAGUGGCAGUUUUCCACUCUAAUUUGGUCCUUAGAAUUUUCUUUUUCUUUUUCUUUCUCUCUCUCUCUCUCUUUUUUUUUUAGGAAGUUGGUACAUGAACUCGGUUUGUGACACGGCUAUAGCUCUACAGAUUUUCAGUUUUGAAAAGUAGAGGGGUAUCACAGAAAGAUGAGUAGCCAGAAUCUUUGGUGUAUGUGCCGCUGAAGCGAGCCCAGGAAGAGCUGUUUACACGCUAUUUCCGUAAUGCAUGGCCAGGGUUAAACCAGGUCCACAGAAAUGUACUUUUCAUCAUGAUAACUUGUGAAUACGAAAAAUUACUUGAAGGCAUUUUUUUCCCCCUUCUACCUUGGAAGAGCAAAGGGCUAAUACGCCAUUCUCAUUGUUCUUCCUGGGAGUGCUGUACAUCUGGGUCGGACUUCCUAAUGAAAUGGUGGCCUUUCUGAUGAGUCCAGCUGGUCAGUGACAUGGUGUGGCCCUGUUUUGAACGCAGCGUGGAGUCAAGGGAGAGAGAUGGUCGGCGCUCCCUUGAAGGCUGGGCCGUGGGGAAGAAGGCCUCACAGAACAAUUGGCCAAGGCGUGGCCCAAUGAUUAGCAGGUGCUGCCCUCUCUGCCCUUGGCUGUAUUUCCUGGUCAGCGAAGAAGCUUGUAUCAACACGCUUGGAACGGAUGAAGACAUGGAUGUUUCCCAAUUGUUUGACUUCUAACCUUCCUGGGUGACCUGCACGUCACUAGCUGAGAGGCCACAGCAGAGCCCGGAUGGGGCCUCCCGGCUUCUAGGGUGGAUUGCCAACUAACGAAUAAGGCCAUUUGACGCCGGUCUCGAGGUUAGAAGUCAACAGUCAGGAUUUUCACAACAUCAUCUCUUAAAGACGUUACUAAGUGGACACACAUCAUCCUUACAACUCCUGGAACUCAGAGAGGAAACCGUCUGGCUUUGGAGCUGUUGCCAAUGAUGGCUUCAACGGGAUUUUUGUAAUAUUCGAGUAGAGUGACACCCGAAAUUUUUACAGAUCCUCAAAAUCUUUGAAAGGCAUUUAAGUAGUUGUGGC
Molecule: long non-coding RNA, 2884 nt
Organism: Leopardus geoffroyi (Geoffroy's cat)
Lineage: Eukaryota; Metazoa; Chordata; Mammalia; Carnivora; Felidae
Exons: 3
Source: RefSeq, a predicted model, not a curated record